This is a long non-coding RNA of Oenanthe melanoleuca, 7986 nucleotides long. RefSeq lists it as uncharacterized. The transcript has 6 exons. NCBI's taxonomy places the organism in Eukaryota, Metazoa, Chordata, Aves, Passeriformes, Muscicapidae. The record is from RefSeq and is a predicted model, not a curated record.
GUGUGGUGACAGGGUGGUGUGACUGCUCCUGAGCAUUUUGAAAGCACUGUGGUGUUUGCAAUGUGAUAGCUCUGGAGCUAUUUCAAUGCACAGCCUGCUACAAUCGUGGUAUCACCUGGAGUCGAGGGGAGAGAGGCUGGAUGAGCCAGUGCAACAUGGGGUUUUACACAAUUACUGACUGUGAGCUCGAGCUGAAAUCAAAGAGCAGCCAGCUGUGGUGAACACUUCCAUGGGAGUACCCUGAGUUCACACCAGAGAGUUUAAGCACAAAGGAUUCUGUUAUAACUGGAUUCAGUUACAGAGACCCAAGCCUGGAAGUAUAUGUGAUCCAAGCCUUGGCCAGAAUUUAAAUGGACCCAAAUUCAAAUGGGCUGAAUUCAUCGUGAAUGAGCCUCCUCCUGACUUUAAGAGAUUAUUGCUGUAUAAGAGCUGAGCAUCUUGUGUGGCAUUCAAGAGGAGAUGAGUUAGUUUCAAGCAGCAGAGCUCUGCUGAGCUGACCUGGCUCUUCUAAAUCAGACUGUGCCAUGAAGGGAGCAAUCAGCUGCAGCAAAGGGAAGGACAGCAAGCAGAUGAGAGCUGGGGAAGGCUGGAAGAGGAAUCAGACAGGGGAUGAAUCUACAGACACAACAGCUAAGAGAGCCCUGGCUGCCAGACCUAGACUCUUCAAUCAACAGAUUAAAGAGACAAUUAGGUCCCAUAUUUUGACCAGCAGCUAUUCUAAAAUCUCAUUAUAAGGACAACCCUGGAGAGCACAUGGCAGCCUUCCAGUACCAACAUGCUUUACUAAAGGUAAAAGAACUUUAUCAAGUACUUGGGGCUUUUCUGAUCUAUUGAAUGAUUGCUUGCAAAUCCCUCGCUAUUUUCAUAGGGGUUUUUCAAGAGAGAGCUUUAAAAGAGUAAAACACAACAGUAGAAGACCUCUCUGUGGCAGGGCUCCCAGAAAGAAGAUCUUACACUUCUAUUCCCCAGUAGUCACUCUCAGCCCUGCUCUUGCCUAGAAAGUGCUGGAGACCUUUGCUCACAUCUCUGAGCACAAGGAAGUUCCAGCACCAUUGUAAAGGGUGGGAGCUGACAGCAGGCACCACCUCCAGAUAGGACUGUUUAUGCUGAGGCGGGAUAAAUGGAUGGAGAUCUCCAUGAAUUGUAGCCAGUGGAGUAAAGCUGGAAGUGUUGCCUUGCACAGAGAUAGCAGUGCAGGCAAGGAGCUCAGUGGGAGCUGUGCUGGAGCUGCACUCGGCUCCUUGCAGGGAAGUCUCCUGCUAUUAAUACCACAGCUAUCACAGCAGAUAACACGGUAAAAGGCAGCAGCCUGCAGGAAGGCUUAGGUUAGAGUAAACUGAGGAGCACUCUUUGGAUUACAGGGUGGGGUAAAGUCUGUAGGGCGUUCUCUUGUCUCUGCAAGCCGAACAGCCGCUGUUCAGCGGCACCAGGCUGCUGCUGGUGCUGCAGUGACACCGACAGGCUGCACUGCCCUGCCCUGGUGUAAAACAGCAAGAGCCAGGCUGCCUCAAAUCACAGCAACAAGAUAAAGGUCAGGAAAUGGGGAAAAAACCUUUUCGUUGGUCAGAGUGUGCUGAGAGAGAUCCUGAUCCCUCCAGGAAAGGCAGGUGUCCUGUGACCCACCAUGAAAGGCAGAUGAGCUCCCCAUGAGAAGACAGUGAUGGUAACUGGGACCAGAUCUAUCUGUCCCUGGCAGUGCUUAUGGUGGCAGAGGGAUGCUGUUUGUCUCAACCAAGCUUUGAACCCUCGGGAGAAGUGCAGCUCUUCUCUUCAUGCAGCAGUCUUUCCUGAUCUACUUUCAGUUCCUUCCUGCAAAGCUGCCCUGUGCAGCAGGCAAGUCAAGGAUGGAGAACUUCCUCCCCUGCUUGAGCCGUUUGGAAAUGGCUAAUUUACUACAAGGUAGGGAGAAAAAGGAAGGAUAGUGAAACACAGCCCAGCCUAGGCCUCGAGGCCAUCUCAGGUUCAGGAGGAAAGGAAAGGACAAAGAGCUCAGAGACCCCCCAGUCUGGCUUUUUGCAGGACCUCAACAUAUCAAAUUGAAAUGGGCCUCUUUUUGCCCCUGGCUGUUCCUACAGUUUAAAUGCUUUAACCUUUAAAGGUAGCAUUCAGGAACCAUGGUACUUAAGUGUUAAAGCUAACUUGGAGGGUAUUUUUGCAGAGGGGAAGGAGUUUUACAGGGGCUUUUACCUACCAGACUUACAUUUCAUUCCAGCACAGGUCAUGUGCAGUGCUGGCUCUGUAUAUAACCUGCUCAUGGUCCCUCAUCUCACCAGUUUUCUCAGUCUUCUCCCAUGGAGAUCAACAGAUUAAAAGCAGAGAAGAUUUGAGGCUUCUUUCCCAGUGGUGCUGAGUGCCUGCUGCUCCUCAUGGUCCUGACAGAAAGAGUGCUCAGCAGCAAUUCAUCUCUAUCUGUGCUGCUCUUUGCCUUGGUCUUGAAGAUUAUUUGAGACACUAGGCAAGAAAUGAAUAAAAGCCUUUCCCUAUCAAAACUCAUCAGAACUCUCCUCAAUUUUGUUGAUCACAGUAUCUCUAACCACAGAACCUGUUCAUUCUCAGAGCAGGCCCUGCAUAGCCUUUCUUCCUCUUAAACUUUCUUCUUCUCCUGCUAUUAAGAAGGCCCACAUCAGAUACGUCACUUUCUCUUUUCUCAUGUAGUUGCUCAUCCAGUCCUCUAAUUCCCAUUUUUGAUCUCCCUCUACUUCUCUCUCAUUUCAUCUCCACUAUUAUUUUCUGUUUAGUUUGUUUGCUCCUACGUGUAUAGACCUCAGAAAAGGUUCUCUUGACAUAAUCAGCCUUCUGUCUCUUCCUUGCUGUUGUUUUCUAAACCUUGUCUUUUUUCUAUAUUGAAUUGCUUUUCCAUUCCUCCCAUGUGGCUUGAAAUGUCUCCUUUCCACAAACACUAUCAGAGGUAGCAGUGGCCUUCAUAGCCAAGCCGAAAAGGGACCUUUUUCUUCUUACACUUGGAAAUCACAUCCUCCUGGACACAGGUGACACCCCAAUCAUCCAGUAGCAAGGAAGGAGUUUGUUUUCUGGAAAAUUCACCUGUUAGAGUCUGUUUGUUGAGCCCAUUGAGAGGACACAUUUUCUGUUACCUUGAAUUCUGGAGCUAUGGGAAAUAACAGAAGGGGAUUAUUUAAGCCCUCCCACACAGGCUCUGGGAUACAGAAUCCUCCUGUUUCCAUGCUGGCCAUCAGGACCAUAUCCUGUCAAGUGGCACAGUUUCAACAAGUUCAGGAGAGAGCUGCCAUUGUUACAGGAUUUUGGUUCCCAGACCAAGAACUGGAAGAGAGAUUUGUCUGGGAGGGAAUAGGGCACGGAGGAUUUUGUUUGUCACUUUUUCCCCUGCUUCUUUUUGGUGAAAGGCAACAGGGAAAAUGUCAAGAAACGAAUAUAGGAAAAUUAUUGAUCUGAAGAAUCUGUCCCUACCAGAAAAAACAUUUUUGCUACCAAGAGAAGUCAAAGUAAAAUUUUGAAAGGCACUUACCUGACUUUCCAGGAACACAAACUCCUAGAGAUCCUCUGGCUUUGUAAAAAUGUGUCUGAAGCUUCCAUAGCUCAUAAAUGAAACUUUGUUCUGGAUGAGGAUGAUUUCCCCUCCGAAGAAACAGCAGGCACCCACCCCACUGGCUUGUUCACCAUCCCUUGCUACAAGAUGGGAGAACACUAACAAGCAUAGAAUAUGCCUGAUCCAUCUCGGCCUUUCCCUCUCCUCAUUUUUUUGAUGCUGCGUGCUUCCAGUUGUGCCAGUCUGUAAGCUCUCAGCAGUAUUUUGUGUUUCCUUCAGUCUCUCUCUCCCUCUCUGUAAGAUUUCACCAGCCUAUUAGUGUUAGAAGUGAGUGUUUAUUAAGUCCAGAUAUCUAUUUAUCUAUUGCUCUAUCUUUAUGCAAUUCAUAUACACGUACAUCUGCUGAGGCAUGGUCCUGGGUAUAAUGUUCCAUUAGAGUGAAAUGUUUACAUAAAGGAAACUGAGGAGUUUAGCUAUUAUAAACCUGGACACUGUGAGUUUACUUACAAGAAUGUCACAUGCACCCCACGGCCAACCUUAAAUUGAGACCCUAUCACAUCUCUCCUUUCAUAUCUGUGCCUUUAUGUCUUCCACUUAUGACCCAUCACAGACAUACUGUGGAUUAGUUCAGAUGCAAUAAGAAUCUUAAUAUCAGUGAGUAGCAUCAUUAUUGGAAACACACUGUGUCUGUGCAGACUGAAUAUCAGACCAUUCCUUUUUGUCUGAGAGGAUACCUAUUCUCACAAACUCAGAAAAUUAUCAUACAGUCUGUUGCAUCCGUCUCUCCUUCAGAAAUAACUUUACAUACAAGCACUAUUUUUUUUUUCCUUAUUGAAUAAAAAGCUACAUGGCAAGCCCCUAGUCUUCAUCCAUGGAAGGUAAGCAAGGAUUUGAGAAGGAUUAGAGGAGUAGCAAGGGUUCUUAGAUGAACCAGAGGUACCUACCACAGUACCUACCACACAGAAAGUAAUUUGGAAAUACCUGCCUUUCCCUAUAAGCUGGAUUCUCUGCUCUGGGAAAACAUAGUUUAUUUUUAGAUCCAGUAAAUAACAAGAUGUUGGGUGACCACCAAAGACAGGCACUGCUCUGUUUCAAACCCUGCCAGCUAGCCAUACUCAUUUCCAGAGGAACUCCUGGCACAAUCACAAGCUGGUGUGAUUUAAACACAAGCAAUGCCUUCAGCUGAGAAGAGGGAAAUGCAGCCCUUUUCCCUGGUCGGCGCUGCCGAAGCCUGUGAUCGCAUGGUGGCUCUCGCUCCCGGCAGCAAUGCUCCUGCCUGCCCACUCCAGCUCCUCCUGCCUCACCCCCUGAAAGGCAGCAGAGCUCUAAUGACCUCCCAUGCACUUACGUCUAACAGAUACGUUUUUGAAAACAGUAUCAGACCUCAUACAUCUAUGACCACUUUAAAAGGCUUCUCACCACACCUUCUGCUCUCUGUUCUCUACACUCAAGUGGAAGAAUGGCACAAAACCCCCCCCUCUACCCACUCUUUUCACCCAGUUCCUCUCAACAGCAAGAAAAUCUUAGAAGAGCCAAAGAAAAGCUAAAGAAACAACUCUGGGUCCUGUCUGCUCAGGGAACAAUUUCCACAUCUGACUUUUGCUGCUGCUAGAGGGCUGGUUGCAGCUUUACUAUCAGUUCUGUCCCUCUGUAUCCUUUGCUUCCCCUGAAUCUGUGAAGAUUUUGUUUGUUGAGUCAAGGCAGUCAGUGGGAGAGUAUUUUCAUCACCAAUUCCCAAACACUGUCCUUCUUUCCAUUUGAUGCUCACCCACUCAUGAAAAGGGGAAACAAAUAAACAAAUAAACAAAAAAAAUCACAGGAUCAGUCUUGGUUCACUUCUUCUUUCUUUUUUUCUGCAUGGUUUUAUGGACUAUCUUUUAUUGAACAAUAUGGGCUGAGUCAUGUGAGGACAAAUUUGCAGGGAUGCAUUAGACACACCAUGUGUCACAAAAGGUGCAUGAUCAGAGGCUGAAGACAAACACGUGCAUCUCUGACACUUUACUGGGACUGUUCACAAUUGCACUGGUUAAUGUGCAUAGUCAAAAUUGAGCAAGAUCAUAAAGGCUCUUCACACUAAAUGAACAAAAGCUCUGGGGUAACGAGCCAUGAUAUCUCGCCUUAGUUGGCACACCCUUGUACCAUCUCUGUGACAGAGAACUGAGGUGAUGUGCUAUACCUCUGGACACAGAAAGCAAAGCCAAAAGGGCAACUCUGUCCCCAGAUAAGUUAGUAAUAAAGAGGAAAACUAGUUGGGAGGUUUUAAUAAUUGAUUCAGAAAAGCUAUAAUCUGAUAAAAAUACUGCUUGGAUAUAAAUCCAAUCUAUGAAUUCUUAAUUGAUAACAGUUUACUAGGGCAGUGCUUAUGUGGAGACGCUUUACACCAGGUCAGUUAUCACCUGUCUGUGCCUUUUUCUUGGUGCCAUGCCAGCAAAGUGUCUGCUGGGUGCUCUGUGGAAUUCAGUGGGAUCACAUCCGUGUGGCCAUGCCCAGAGUCUGGCAGUGCCUGAUGACACCUGAGUUACUGACCUUUACUUGCUCUAAUUGUGACUUCUUCAAAUAAAUAAUUCAAUAAGUUAUUUUGUGAAAGUAGACCAACAAGACAGCUACAAUCCAUUUACACUCAACUUGGGGAGCAAAACACAGCUUUCUCCACGAGCUCCUCUGCUUUGUUGCAAUCGCCUCCUUCCCAGCAGUCAUGUCCAGGGCUCUCUCAGUCCAGCACCCCCUGAACCCAAAUGGAUUCUUGGGAGAUGGUUUCUCUUCCCCAGAUGAAGACCUGAGGUAUCAGCUGCUUCUUAUUAACCUCAUUUCUUCCACUAAUUAUUGCCCUCACUUUUGCCUGCCUGUUGCUCCUUUUUAGACAUCUCUUCCCUAAUACCUCUUUGGUGACUAGAAGAGAACUGAAGCAGAGAAGACGAUUCAUACAAACUAAAUUGGGGGUUGAACUUUGUUCAGUUCUGCAUUUUUUUCUGAAACAGAGCAGGGGAAACUGCUGGCAGAGCCUCCUCAACCAGUCCAUCCCCUCACUGCCACCCAAACACUAACCCCAUUUUUCUGCAAGCCAUAAGAGUCACUGUAAAGGUGGUGAUUUUACUGUCAUUCUGAGCCCAAAGAAAGUCUCUGGCUUGGCUGCAUGCAAGGUGGCAAAUUUAAUUGUCUUCUCUUAACUGCUUCUUCACUAAAUCUGUGCUGUCUGCUAAUCUCCUGCAUCCCUGUAGAAAAGUCACGACUGAAGACUCAAGUUGUCAAAACAUCACUUGUCUUUUCCACCAACGCUGGUGGAAGCAUGGCUGUGCUGAGCCAGAGCAGAGUUGAGCAGGCUUUGAGAAAGUCCCUGUUUCCAAUUUAGCACAGCUCCUAGGAGGUAUUAUGUUUCCUGGUGCAGAGCAGAAAACGCUUUGAGAUCCUCAAACACAAAGCCUUGUUGUUUUAUUCAUUUGUACUGCUGAGCAAAUUCUCUUUUUGAGGCUUCCAGUGGGGAAAUUUCCUCCAGUUUCUCCAUAGCAGAGUCCAGAUUAAAGCUACCUUUACCUAUUUAAGGUCUAGAAAGCAUGAUUUCUUCAAAGACAGCCUUUAUAUCCUGUACUCCUAGAAGACCUUUUUAAUUGCAAGAAACACUCUCUUCCUAACUACAAAAGCAUUUGAGCUCAUCCUCUAUUCAGUUGUGUUGGCAGAGCCUCAGGAAGAGUUCUCCAACCUGAAACAUCCAAGGAAUCUGUUAGGAAACCCAUCACAGUUUCCAGAUAACACGCUGCCAGCUUUAUUAAAAGAGCAGUGCUCGACAGGCUUGCACUCACAUUGCAGUCAUUCUUGGCACUCCUGCAGCCUCCUCCAUCCAAGAAUUCUGCACCGCUCAUUCCACUGGCUGCCUCUUCCUACCAUCCUCACAACGAAGGUACCAAGCGCCUCCCAGGAUCACCUGGAGCACGUGAUUUUUACAGCACCUCACAAACUGCAUUUUCACAAAGAUUCUCCGAUGUCCUUCCCCAGGGAGCUGAGCUCAGCAGCAGCAGUCAGAGAGGCUCUGCAGCAGCAGCGUCUGCAGGGUGGCUUCUCAUGAGCCCUGGACAGCCUCUCUGAUGUCCCACAUGUUUAACACAGCUCUGUCCCCAAGCACUGGGCUACAGUUAACCAACGGAUCCCAAGGUUUUUCUUGAAUUUUCCCCAGAUUACAACCAGGGCAAGCUUGCUGCUGCUUCAAAACAAUGUUUUUCUGAUUACAACCUAGGCUGACAAUUAUAGUGAUUUAAACCCUAACUAAUUGUGAAGUACUUUGAUCAUGCUUAGCACAACUUGUGGUUUGUAGGCUGAAAAUAGUUGAAAGGAACUCUUGGGUUCACAAUUUCCUUGAAUAUAAAUUUUAUUUUGAUAUAUAAGGUAUGAUUUAAAUAUAAAAAUAAAACUUGUGUUUGUUUUCCCCCUCAUCCUGUUUCUUCUUUGAAUAUUAUUGCUGGUAUAAUUUUCCCUCCCUGAGCUUAAUA